RNAcentral lists this ribosomal RNA (497 nucleotides) under uncultured bacterium. RNAcentral's name for it is "partial 16S ribosomal RNA". It matches the Rfam family "Bacterial small subunit ribosomal RNA", at positions 28 to 507 of the family's 1533-position model. The record is from RNAcentral.
GAUGAACGCUGGCGGCGUGCCUAAUACAUGCAAGUCGAGCGAACAGACGAGGAGCUUGCUCCUCUGACGUUAGCGGCGGACGGGUGAGUAACACGUGGAUAACCUACCUAUAAGACUGGGAUAACUUCGGGAAACCGGAGCUAAUACCGGAUAAUAUAUUGAACCGCACGGUUCAAUAGUGAAAGACGGUUUUGCUGUCACUUAUCGAUGGAUCCGCGCCGCAUUAGCUAGUUGGUAAGGUAACGGCUUACCAAGGCAACGAUGCGUAGCCGACCUGAGAGGGUGAUCGGCCACACUGGAACUGAGACACGGUCCAGACUCCUACGGGAGGCAGCAGUAGGGAAUCUUCCGCAAUGGGCGAAAGCCUGACGGAGCAACGCCGCGUGAGUGAUGAAGGUCUUCGGAUCGUAAAACUCUGUUAUUAGGGAAGAACAAAUGUGUAAGUAACUAUGCACGUCUUGACGGUACCUAAUCAGAAAGCCACGGCUAACUACGUG